RNAcentral lists this ribosomal RNA (391 nucleotides) under uncultured bacterium. Its description in RNAcentral is "bacterial SSU rRNA". It matches the Rfam family "Bacterial small subunit ribosomal RNA", at positions 28 to 417 of the family's 1533-position model. The record is from RNAcentral.
GACGAACGCUGGCGGCGUGCUUAACACAUGCAAGUCGAGCGGUAAGGCCCUUUCGGGGGUACGACGAGCGGCGAACGGGUGAGUAACACGUGGGUGACCUGCCCUUAGCUCUGGGAUAAGCCUGGGAAACUGGGUCUAAUACCGGAUAUGACCUCAUGACUCAUGUUGUGGGGUGGAAAGCCUUGUGCGGCUAGGGAUGGGCCCGCGGCCUAUCAGCUUGUUGGUGGGGUAAUUGCCUACCAAGGCGACGACGGGUAGCCGGCCUGAGAGGGCGACCGGCCACACUGGGACUGAGACACGGCCCAGACUCCUACGGGAGGGCAGCAGUGGGGAAUCUUGCGCAAUGGGCGAAAGACCUGGCGCAGCGACGCCGCGUGAGGGAUGACGGCCU